CGCCUGGCUGAACCCGCUAGUAUUCGAACUGUGCGCAGGGACAUGCACAGGCUUUCAGGAUGAAGGCCAGGGACAUCGCAAGAAGCGAUUUCAUCAGGAUGAUGUUUGGGACAAGCAGGGACUACGGAAAAAAAUGUGGGCGGGUCAAACCGCCCCUUUUUUU
This 163-nucleotide small RNA is filed under the name Pseudomonas putida DOT-T1E. Lineage: Bacteria; Pseudomonadati; Pseudomonadota; Gammaproteobacteria; Pseudomonadales; Pseudomonadaceae. The record is from RNAcentral.